AUCCUCACUUUGACAGCACAUAUACUAAAAUUAGAUCAAUACAGAGAAGAUUACGAUGGCCAUUACCAUGGCCAAGGAUAACAUGCAAAUUCAUGAAUAAGCUUUGCAUUAU
Panthera pardus (leopard) is the source of this 112-nucleotide small nuclear RNA. The record is from Ensembl. NCBI's taxonomy places the organism in Eukaryota, Metazoa, Chordata, Mammalia, Carnivora, Felidae.